GUUCCUACGGGGCGCAGCAGUGAGGAAUAUUGGUCAAUGGGCUUACGCCUGAACCAGCAAAGUCGCGUGAGGGAAGACUGCCCUAUGGGUUGUAAACCUCUUUUGUCAGGGAGAAAUUGGCGCUACGUGUAGCGUUAUCGAGAGUACCUGAAGAAAAAGCAUCGGCUAACUCAGUGCCAGCAGACGCGGUAAUACGGAGGAUGCGAGCGUUAUCCGGAUUUAUUGGGUUUAAAGGGUGCGUAGGCGGAAUGCCAAGUCAGCGGUAAAAUCGCGGGGCUCAACCUCGCUCCGCCGUUGAAACGGGG
RNAcentral lists this ribosomal RNA (305 nucleotides) under uncultured bacterium. RNAcentral describes it as "bacterial SSU rRNA". It matches the Rfam family "Bacterial small subunit ribosomal RNA", at positions 335 to 637 of the family's 1533-position model. The record is from RNAcentral.